CGUUAGCGGCGACGGGUGAGUAACACGUGGGUAACCUACCUAUAAGACUGGGACAACUUCGGGAAACCGGAGCUAAUACCGGAUAAGAUAUCGAACCGCAUGGUUCGAUAGUGAAAGANGGUUUUGCUAUCACUUAUAGAUGGACCCGCGCCGUAUUAGCUAGUUGGUGAGGUAACGGCUCACCAAGGCAACGAUACGUAGCCGACCUGAGAGGGUGGUCGGCCACACUGGAACUGAGACACGGUCCAGACUCCUACGGGAGGCAGCAGAC
Molecule: ribosomal RNA, 271 nt
Filed under: uncultured Staphylococcus sp.
Lineage: Bacteria; Bacillati; Bacillota; Bacilli; Caryophanales; Staphylococcaceae
Description: partial 16S ribosomal RNA
Rfam family: Bacterial small subunit ribosomal RNA
Source: RNAcentral